This 1684-nucleotide unclassified non-coding RNA is filed under the name Dimorphilus gyrociliatus. RNAcentral's name for it is "kinase". The record is from RNAcentral. Lineage: Eukaryota; Metazoa; Annelida; Polychaeta; Dinophilidae.
UAGCGUUUCGUUUAGGCAUAAUAUUAGGAUUAAAUAAAAAAAUAUGUUCUAUAUUUCGUAAAGUCCUAUAGAGGGAGUGAUUGUCUAUUUAGAUUCUUGUAAAUAAAUAUAAGUUUCUUUGCUUUUAUAUCAAUUUUUCCGCUUCCUGCUUAUAACUUGAUUCCUAGUUUCUCUUACUUCUUCUGAUAUUGCUUUAAAAGUGAUAUUGCUUUAAUAGAUUUUCCUCUCUUAUGACAAUUUGUAAACCUAUCUUACUUUUAUUAGUAUUGGAUAUUGAACAUUUAACUUAACAAUGAGUCGAUCUAUUGAUCGAAACUGAGAAUAAGCAAUUCAAAAAUUUUGUAACGUUAUACUAUGCAUUUUAAUCGUUGACUAUGCAUUAGUUCUUAUCCCAAAUUAAACACUAGGUUAAAAGAACGCUUAUGAAAAUAUCGUGUUAGUCAAUCUUUCAAUAUGGCAAGUAUAUUAACUAAAAGAAGAUAUUAAUAACUCAUAUUUUAUUUUUAGUGGAAUAGUAUGGCUCUCUAAUUUUAAAUGAAGAACCUACCAGAAUACCUCUAAAUUUGUAGUAGGUCUAUCAUAACUUUAAAUUUUUAGCUUAAUUUAGUCAUUUGUUUUUAGACAUCCGACUCGUUCUAUAUAGUUUUAUAUUAAAAAGUUUGUUUCUACGUAUUUGUAAAUUAUGAGUGGAGAAGAUCAAAUUUUCAUAAGAAAAGGAAAACGUAUCAGAUUAGAGGCUUUCCAACACCAGGUCGGAGGACAUACUCCAAUCUUUAAAUGUGGCUAUUCGACAGUAUGUAAAGCUUUUAAUAGACGAGAAUAUUUUAUAUAUAUCUCUGCCAGUCCUGAACUGGAAUCAUUUUUACCGAAACUAAUAGGCCUGAUGGAAGUUGGAUAUGCACAUAGUGAAGGAGAUAUCGAAAUUUAUGGUCAACAAAUACAGCUACUUGAUAAAGACCGAUUUCUCUAUAAAAAAGAAAAUCAAUUUCUUCUGAAAUCUGAUUGUCCGCAAAAGGACGUUACGGAAGAGGUUCAUAGAUCCUCAGUUGAAAAACUAUUCCUUCAUUCAGACCGAUUACAACCAUCUACUGGAAUUUCCAAUCCAUAUAGCAAUAGCACUUAUGUCAGAGCUUUAGAAAGACUAAAAGAUCGUAAACCGCCACAUUAUUUUACUCUUUUAGAGGAUCUUACUCAUUCUUUUAGUCGGCCAUGCGUUUUAGACUUGAAAAUGGGAACAAGACUUUACGGUGAUGAUGCUAGUGAAGAGAGGGUUGUUUUUCAUAAAAUUCAAUCUGAAAUGACAACAUCCUGUAGGCUAGGAGUUCGAGUAGGUGGCAUGCAGUUGUUUAAAAGGGAGCAGAAUAAAUAUUUAUGCUAUGGAAAGCAUCAUGGCAAAGCCUUAGAUGAUGAAGGAUUCAAAGAAUGGAUAUUGGUAGAACGUCUGAAAACUCUAAGGAAGAUCAUAUUGAAAAUGGAUGGUUGGCGAUUUUUUUCGUCAUCUCUCUUGAUCAUAUAUGAAGGCUUUGAAGCUUCCACUUCUAGGAUAGAUAUUAAAAUGAUUGACUUUACUCGCUCUACCAAUGGAAAAUUUUUAGAUGAUAGGAUUGUUCAUAAUGGUCCAGACGAUGGAUAUAUUUUAGGAAUAAAUACCUUGAUCAAUAUUUUUGAAAAUUUAGGUUCUUAG